CCUGAUCAACCGAUGCUUGGAGAUUUGUCUUGUAUUAACUACUUCUUAUGUCAAUAUGACCAAUAGAUGCCAUGUGUCGCAUCACGCGAAAAACCGGCGGGAAAAGAAGAAACAACAGAGCCGCCACCGUGCGUUAUUUAUCCCAAAAGAGGGAAAGGAAACGCUCGAAGUAAACCUGGGAAAGAACAUGGUCUCGCGACCAAAGAGAAUGG
Molecule: long non-coding RNA, 212 nt
Filed under: Lathyrus oleraceus (garden pea)
Lineage: Eukaryota; Viridiplantae; Streptophyta; Magnoliopsida; Fabales; Fabaceae
Description: Pisum sativum (pea) long non-coding RNA (PSAT_LNC025920)
Source: RNAcentral